GGAGUCUCUGGCACCCCAAAAUCCGCCCCCCGAGCUGGGUUUUUGGGGGGCACUCACGGCGGGUGACGACUCGGUUGAGGAUGUUCAUGAGCUCGGUGGGGCUCACCUCCAUGUCCUGGGGGGAAAUGGGGGGUCAGGAACCCCAAAAUCCUGAUCCCAAAUCCUGGGGAUCCCCAAAUCCUGAUCCUAAAUCCUGGGGAUCCCCCAAAUCCUGAUCCUAAAUCUUGGGAUCCCCCAAAUCCUGAUCCUAAAUAUUAGGGAGCCCCAAAAUCCUGAUCCUCAAUAUUGGGGAGCCCCAAAAUCCUGAUCCCAAAUCCUGGGGGAUCCCCCAAAUCCUGAUCCUAAAUCUCAGGGAGUCACAAAAUCCUGAUCCUAAAUCUCUGAGGGAUCCCCAAAAUCCUGAUCCCAAAUCCUGGGGAUCCCCCAAAUCCUGAUCCUAAAUAUUGGGGAGCCCCCAAAUCCUGAUCCUAAAUAUUGGGGAGCCCCAAAUCCUGAUCCCAAAUCUUGGGAUCCUCCAAAUCCUGAUCCCAAAUAUUGGGGAGCCCCAAAAUCCUGAUCCUAAAUAUUGGAAAUCCCCAAAAUCCUGAUCCUAAAUCCUGGGGAUCCCCAAAAUCCUGAUCCCAAAUCCUGGGGGAUUCCCCAGAUCCUGAUCCCAAAUCCUGGGGAGCCCCAAAAUCCUGAUCCCAAGUCCUGGGGAGCCCCAAAAUCCUGAUCCCAAACCCCUGGGGGAUCCCCCAAAUCCUGAUCCCAAAUCCUGGGGAUCCCCCAGAUCCUGAUCCCAAAUUUCAGGGAACCCCAAAUCCUGAUCCCAAACCCUCGAGGGGAUCCCGGAGGAUCCCAAAGGGUUCUGGAGGGUUCCCAGAGCUCGGAUGGAUCCCAGGGGAUCCCAAAAGGUCCUGAGAGGUUCCCAAAGCUCCGAUGGAUCCCGGAGGAUCCCGGCAAAUCCCAGGGGGGUUCCCAAGGCCUUGGGUGGAUCCCAGAGGAUCCCAGGGGGUUCCCAAAGCUCAGAUGGAUCCUGAUGGAUCCUGGAGGGUUCCCAGAGCUCAGGAGGAUCCCAGGGGAUCCCAAAGGGUUCCCAGUGGAUCCCAGAGGGUUCUGAGAGGUUCCCAGAGCUCAGAUGGAUCCUGGAGGAUCCCAGUGGAUCCCAGGGGGUCCCAAAGAGUUCAGAGGGGUUCCCAGAGUUUGGGAGGAUCCCAGUGGAUCCCAGGGGGGGUCCCCAGAUCUCAGAUGGAUCCCAGUGGAUCCCAGGGGGUCCCCAGGUCUCAGAUGGAUCCCGGUGGAUCCCGGUGGAUCCCGGUGGAUCCCGGAGGAUCCCGGUGGAUCCCUCACCUCCCCGGCCAG
RNAcentral lists this long non-coding RNA (1341 nucleotides) under Parus major (Great Tit). RNAcentral describes it as "lncRNA (ENSPMJG00000002005.1)". Lineage: Eukaryota; Metazoa; Chordata; Aves; Passeriformes; Paridae. The record is from RNAcentral.